AUCUCUGACCCCAUAGCUGUUUAGCCAAAUGGAAAUGACCAGGGGCCAACUUGCUUUAAAUCACAAAUGGUUUAAAGCAGGGUUUUCAUCUCCCCCCCCAAAAAAAAACCAUGCUCCGACAGACAGAUCUGUGGUGCUGUCUUUUAGGCCAGUAGCAAACCUUCCAUUACAAAGACAUCCACUCUUCAAUCCAGGGUUAUUCCUCUCCAUUACUAAUAGCUAUUUGUUUGAUACAGGAACUUGGGCUAAAAUUGAUUGUAUAUGAACUGCAGAAGUCCUAAUACACUGCAUUAUUUUGUACCUGUAAGUAUGGUCAGAUUUGGAGAAAAUGAUUGUAUUGUAAAUUAAGGCUAAAUUUGUAUCCAUUUUAAUUGUUUAAAGUUAACAAAAUGUAAAAGACCAGCUUGUACAAAAAAACGAAACAAUAGAGGUUUUCAGGUUUCCGCCGUUGCAAGUUGCACUUGACCAGGUUACAUUUUCCCGAUUUAACCACUUUUUUAAAUUGAAUGCAUUUCAGAGGCAGGUUUCUGGCUAUUUUCUCACAUCUGUCUUUGGAAUUUGCAGUAAAACAUAAAACGUGCCUCCCUGAUUCUGUUCUCUAAUGCACUGCCAGUGCUAUCAGUGAACACCUGAACAGCUUCCUAUUUUUCUCAAAUUGAAAACACUGUUAGAAGCUUUUUUUUUUUUUGUAUUAGCUAUCAAAAACAUAUUAUUUCCUUGUCUCACUUAGUUAAUAUUUUAGAGUAAUCGGGUAAAGUGGCUGUUUUUGCUGGGCUUUUUUUUCUUCCAGCUUAAACUAUAAGCCGCUCUUGUCUCUUAACGUGUUUAGAUCGGUUUUAUCAUGUCUUUUGUUUUGUCUUUUCGAGGAACCCGAUCAUGCAGAGGUCCAUACUUGGAAGCCUCCCCCUCUUCCUCAGUCUAGUGUAAAAUAGUUGUAUCUAGAGCCACUGUCUCCAACUCAGGCAAUUCUCUUUAAAUUUUGUUUCAUUUUUGAGGUGUUUUCGUAUGUCUACUGCUAGACCACAGUGAUAUAUUAUAUUGUCUCUAGUGCCAUUUGAUGCAUUCUACUUCAAGACCAAUUUGUGUGUUUUGUUGUGCUCUCCUGAAUUCAGUUUUUUUUAUUCAAUGGAUUGACAAGCACUUAUUGUAGAUCACUAGUGCAGCUACUCAUGUGGCUUUUUUUAAAAUUAUACUUUUGCUGUUUUGCAAAAGCACAUUUUUUUUAAUGAAUUUUACCAAGCAGGAGGAAAACGGUGGAAAGGGUUCCGUCUUGGUCCUUUUGUUGUCCCUUUCAAUUUUCCGCCAUCCUUUUUUGUUUUUCAUCAAAAUCAAUGUAUCUGGUUAAUUAUAUUAGAUUGCUGAUGGUGUUGUAGCGAAAAGAGAUUUUUUGUAAAUUGUGAAUAAAUUGUAUCACGUUUCCUUUCAUCAAUUGUUUGUGUAUCAUGACAAAUGUAUGAUUGGUUUGUCUGUCUUUGCUCAGUUUUUCUUUUGUAAUUCUCAAACCAAAUUUAUUUUUGUGAUAAUGUUGGGACACUGAAUUAUAGAUUUAUAUGGUUGCUAACUUUUGAUUUAAGAGAACAUGAUUUGAACAGUAUUUUAAACAAUUGACAAACAUCCUAGAGAAAACAAAGUCACAGAUAAAGAUUUGUCAUUGUCACCAAAUGAUAUUCUCCAACUUUUACCUUUUAGCUUUAUAGAACCUUGUUAUCGGAUGUGGGUUCUGGUUAGGUAGGGGAUGUCGGGUAGUAGCCAAUGUUGAAGAGAUGGCUGGUGUAAAAGAGUCUUUGCUUGUAGAUGUGCAGCAUUUUGAGGGCCUACUGAUUUAGCCAACAUUUUAUGACCAUUUGACCCAUACAUUAUUCCCCUGCUGUUUGAUCUGUUGGCAGACCUUAGACUAGAGGGUGGGAAUGGAGGUGUUUGGCCGGCACUAGUCACGGCCUAGUUUAUUAACAUAAUUUAGGCCCAACUAAUCCCUGGCACUGUAGGUAUCUUGCCUUCACCUCUGUUACGUUUGAUAACUGGUGCAUCUAUGUCCACCACAGUCCUAGUUCAUAGGCAAAAUAUGACUUUGAUGUGACUGUCAGAUAAUUGGCACUCAGUCUUUAUGUAUAGUUUACCCAAACUUGGCAAUAAUAAUUAAAACAUUCUACUUUUUUGAAUUUCUUGUUUUGUAAUGCUUUGGCGGAAUUUACAAUUACCUGUCUUUUCCAUUUGAAUCUGUCUCCUUUUCAUGGACCUUUCUCAAUCUGUUUACUGUUUUCUCUUAAGUAGAAGUAGUAAUGCAAUGGUUAGGUUUGUGGCCAGCUGAAAGUUAAGUGUAUAGAGGUAAUGUGUCACUAUGUAAUGCACUGGACCAACUCUUGUUUACCAGUUAUGGAAUACCAGCAACACACUUGCACAAUGUUCUAAAGAGUUAUGUAUUUGAAAAAAAAUAUAGAUAUAUAAAACAUGGCAGCUGUUUUUAAUGUAAUAUUAGGACAUGUACAGCAACCUAAUGGUAAACCAUGGUCUUCAUUAUUUCACUGUUAUCCUCUAGUCUUGGUUCUCUUGAGUAGUUGUGUUUAUACCAGGGUCAGCUUGUUUCCUUUACACCUCUGUAUUUUUUCCUACUUCUGGUUGACUAUAAAAUUCUAUAUCUGUUUG
This 2643-nucleotide long non-coding RNA is filed under the name Salmo salar (Atlantic salmon). RNAcentral's name for it is "lncRNA (ENSSSAG00000103696.1)". Lineage: Eukaryota; Metazoa; Chordata; Actinopteri; Salmoniformes; Salmonidae. The record is from RNAcentral.